GACAGAGGGUGCAAACGUUGUUCGGAAUUACUGGGCGUAAAGCGCGCGCAGGCGGCGGUAUAAGCAUGGCGUGAAAGCCCCAGGCUUAACCUGGGAGGGUCGUCGUGGACUGUACCGCUUGAGGGCGAUAGGGGCUGGUGGAAUGCCUGGUGUAGUGGUGAAAUGCGUAGAGACCAGGCGGAACACCCGUGGCGAAGGCGGCCAGCUGGGUCGUCCCUGACGCUGAGGCGCGAAGGCGUGGGGAGCGAACGGG
This 253-nucleotide ribosomal RNA is filed under the name uncultured bacterium. RNAcentral describes it as "partial 16S ribosomal RNA". It matches the Rfam family "Bacterial small subunit ribosomal RNA", at positions 524 to 776 of the family's 1533-position model. The record is from RNAcentral.